CCUACGGGUGGCAGCAGUGAGGAAUAUUGGUCAAUGGACGCAAGUCUGAACCAGCCAUGCCGCGUGCAGGAAGACGGCUCUAUGAGUUGUAAACUGCUUUUGUACGAGGGUAAACGCAGAUACGCGUAUCUGUCUGAAAGUAUCGUACGAAUAAGGAUCGGCUAACUCCGUGCCAGCAGCCGCGGUAAUACGGAGGAUUCAAGCGUUAUCCGGAUUUAUUGGGUUGAAAGGGUGCGUAGGGGGUCGGAUAAGUUAGAGGUGAAAUCCCGAGGCUCAACUUCGGAAUUGCCUCUGAUACUGUUCGGCGAGAGAGUAGUUGCGGUAGGCGGAAUGUAUGGUGUAGCGGUGAAAUGCUUAGAGAUCAUACAGAACACCGAUUGCGAAGGCAGCUUACCAAGCUACUUCUGACGUUGAGGCACGAAAGCGUGGGGAGCAAACAGGAUUAGAUACCCCAGUAGUC
RNAcentral lists this ribosomal RNA (460 nucleotides) under uncultured bacterium. Its description in RNAcentral is "partial 16S ribosomal RNA". It matches the Rfam family "Bacterial small subunit ribosomal RNA", at positions 338 to 795 of the family's 1533-position model. The record is from RNAcentral.